RNAcentral lists this ribosomal RNA (253 nucleotides) under uncultured bacterium. RNAcentral's name for it is "partial 16S ribosomal RNA". It matches the Rfam family "Bacterial small subunit ribosomal RNA", at positions 524 to 776 of the family's 1533-position model. The record is from RNAcentral.
UACGAAGGGUGCUAGCGUUGUUCGGAAUCAUUGGGCGUAAAGCGUACGUAGGCGGCUUUGUAAGUCGAUUGUGAAAGCCCCAAGCUUAACUUGGGAACUGCAACCGAAACUGCUUGGCUUGAGUUUGGUGGGGGAUGGCGGAAUUCCUAGUGUAGGGGUGAAAUCCGUAGAUAUUAGGAGGAAUAUCGGUGGCGAAGGCGGCCAUCUAUGCCAAUACUGACGCUAAGGUACGAAAGCGUGGGGAGCAAACAGG